RNAcentral lists this ribosomal RNA (466 nucleotides) under Fusarium keratoplasticum. RNAcentral's name for it is "partial 28S ribosomal RNA". It matches the Rfam family "Eukaryotic large subunit ribosomal RNA", at positions 81 to 558 of the family's 3401-position model. The record is from RNAcentral. Lineage: Eukaryota; Fungi; Ascomycota; Sordariomycetes; Hypocreales; Nectriaceae.
CAGUAACGGCGAGUGAAGCGGCAACAGCUCAAAUUUGAAAUCUGGCUCUCGGGCCCGAGUUGUAAUUUGUAGAGGAUGCUUUUGGUGAGGUGCCUUCCGAGUUCCCUGGAACGGGACGCCAUAGAGGGUGAGAGCCCCGUCUGGUUGGACACCGAUCCUCUGUAAAGCUCAUUCGACGAGUCGAGUAGUUUGGGAAUGCUGCUCUAAAUGGGAGGUAUAUGUCUUCUAAAGCUAAAUACCGGCCAGAGACCGAUAGCGCACAAGUAGAGUGAUCGAAAGAUGAAAAGAACUUUGAAAAGAGAGUUAAACAGUACGUGAAAUUGUUGAAAGGGAAGCGCUUGUGACCAGACUUGGGCUUGGUUGAUCAUCCGGGGUUCUCCCCGGUGCACUCUUCCGGCCCAGGCCAGCAUCAGUUCGCCCUGGGGGACAAAGGCUUCGGGAAUGUGGCUCUCUCCGGGGAGUGUUA